This 292-nucleotide ribosomal RNA is filed under the name uncultured bacterium. Its description in RNAcentral is "partial 16S ribosomal RNA". It matches the Rfam family "Bacterial small subunit ribosomal RNA", at positions 505 to 796 of the family's 1533-position model. The record is from RNAcentral.
GUGCCAGCAGCCGCGGUAAUACGUAGGGUGCGAGCGUUAAUCGGAAUUACUGGGCGUAAAGCGUGCGCAGGCGGUUAUAUAAGACAGAUGUGAAAUCCCCGGGCUCAACCUGGGACCUGCAUUUGUGACUGUAUAGCUAGAGUACGGUAGAGGGGGAUGGAAUUCCGCGUGUAGCAGUGAAAUGCGUAGAUAUGCGGAGGAACACCGAUGGCGAAGGCAAUCCCCUGGACCUGUACUGACGCUCAUGCACGAAAGCGUGGGGAGCAAACAGGAUUAGAAACCCGAGUAGUCC